GAACCUGCGGAAGGAUCAUUGUCGAAUCCUGCACAGCAGACGACCCGUGAACUCGUUUUAAUCUCGGGCCUUGGGGUCUCUCCCUUGUGCCCGUCUCCUUUCGGUCGGCCGGUGCCCUUGGGUUACUAGUUGUGCCGAACAACAAAAAACCGGCGCGAAAAGCGCCAAGGAAUACGCAAACGGAAUGCCUUCCCGCAUCUUGCCCGUUCGCGGCGUGGGUUGCGGGACAAAAAGGCUCUAUCCGAAUCCAUAACGACUCUCGGCAACGGAUAUCUAGGCUCUCGCAUCGAUGAAGAACGUAGCAAACUGUGAUACUUGGUGUGAAUUGCAGAAUCCCGUGAACCAUCGAGUUUUUGAACGCAAGUUGCGCCCGAAGCCAUUAGGCCAAGGGCACGUCUGCCUGGGCGUCACGCAUCGCGUCGCCCCCCCCACCCCAGUGGUGUCGGGGCGGAAAAUGGCAUCCCGUGGUCUGUCGCGGCCUGCCUAAACCCGUGUCCCUCGUCGCGGACGUCACGACAAGUGGUGGUUGAAAUCCUCAACUCGAAUGCGAGUCGUGCGCACCUCGUGGCCGAGACGACACGUAAUAGACCCUGAGACGAUUCCCUUUCGAGGGAGGAGCAUACGUCAUGACUGCGACCCCA
This 641-nucleotide unclassified non-coding RNA is filed under the name Trachelospermum jasminoides. RNAcentral's name for it is "partial contains internal transcribed spacer 1, 5.8S ribosomal RNA, and internal transcribed spacer 2". The stretch from base 255 to 410 matches the Rfam family "5.8S ribosomal RNA". Lineage: Eukaryota; Viridiplantae; Streptophyta; Magnoliopsida; Gentianales; Apocynaceae. The record is from RNAcentral.